AGUUUGAUCAUGGCUCAGAUUGAACGCUGGCGGCAGGCCUAACACAUGCAAGUCGAACGGUAACAGGAAGCAGCUUGCUGCUUUGCUGACGAGUGGCGGACGGGUGAGUAAUGUCUGGGAAACUGCCCGAUGGAGGGGGAUAACUACUGGAAACGGUAGCUAAUACCGCAUAACGUCGCAAGACCAAAGAGGGGGACCUUCGGGCCUCUUG
RNAcentral lists this ribosomal RNA (211 nucleotides) under Escherichia coli. RNAcentral's name for it is "partial 16S ribosomal RNA". It matches the Rfam family "Bacterial small subunit ribosomal RNA", at positions 10 to 217 of the family's 1533-position model. Lineage: Bacteria; Pseudomonadati; Pseudomonadota; Gammaproteobacteria; Enterobacterales; Enterobacteriaceae. The record is from RNAcentral.